This 289-nucleotide unclassified non-coding RNA is filed under the name Hevea brasiliensis (rubber tree). Lineage: Eukaryota; Viridiplantae; Streptophyta; Magnoliopsida; Malpighiales; Euphorbiaceae. The record is from RNAcentral.
AUUGACAAGACCCACAAGGCAGCUAUAACCUGAUUAAAAAAUUAAAAGAAAAUCAACUUUAGAAAAUGGAUUAUAAAUAUGAGCGAUGUCCUAUCUGAAUAAGUAAAGUAAACAAGGUCACGAGCAUGUCAAAGAGUGAAAGAAAGAACAUACACAAAUCUGACGGCACCAAAACUAAAAUAGCAUAUAACUAUAAAUGAUCUGCUCCAAUUCCAACAGAGCCAUUAGAAAUAUAAAUAACAGGAUAAAUACUGAGACAUACAACGAGAAACUUCUUCAAAUCUUUUCC